GAUGAACGCUGGCGGCGUGCCUAAUACAUGCAAGUAGAACGCUGAGGUAGGAGCUUGCUCUUCUGGAUGAUUUCCGCACGCGUGUGUAACGCGUAGGUAACCUGCCUGUUAGCGGGUGAUAACUAUUGGAAACGAUAGCUCAUACCGCAUGUCACCAGUUAUUCCAUGUUAACUUUUUAAAAGGGGCAACUUCUCCACUACCAGUUGGACCUGCGUUGCAUUAGCUAGUUGGUGAGGUAACGGCUCACCAAGGCGACGAUACAUAGGCGACCUGAUAGGGGGAUCGGCCAACAUGGGAAUGAGACACGGCCCAGACUCCUACGGGGAGGAGCAGUAGGGAAUCUUCGGCAAUGGACGGAAGUCUGAACGAGCAAAGGCGCGUGAGUGAAGAAGGUUUUCGGAUCGGAAAGCUCUGUUGUAAGAGAAAAAAGAGAGUGAGAGGGGAAAGUGCACACUGUGACGGUAUCUUACCAGAAAGGGACGGCUAACUACGUG
RNAcentral lists this ribosomal RNA (495 nucleotides) under uncultured bacterium. RNAcentral's name for it is "partial 16S ribosomal RNA". It matches the Rfam family "Bacterial small subunit ribosomal RNA", at positions 28 to 507 of the family's 1533-position model. The record is from RNAcentral.